This 25-nucleotide transfer RNA is filed under the name Tarentola mauritanica (Moorish gecko). Its description in RNAcentral is "partial tRNA-Phe". The record is from RNAcentral. Lineage: Eukaryota; Metazoa; Chordata; Lepidosauria; Squamata; Phyllodactylidae.
GAUGAAGCACCACCUUCCAGGAACA